Molecule: ribosomal RNA, 115 nt
Filed under: uncultured soil bacterium
Lineage: Bacteria
Description: partial 16S ribosomal RNA
Rfam family: Bacterial small subunit ribosomal RNA
Source: RNAcentral
UGCCCAGGUCCGUGAGGCGAUUUCCUACGGGAGGCAGCAGUGGGGAAUAUUGGACAAUGGGCGCAAGCCUGAUCCAGCCAUGCCGCGUGGAUGAUGAAGGCCCUAGGGUUGUAAA